UACGUAGGUGGCGAGCGUUGUCCGGAUUUAUUGGGUUUAAAGGGUGCGUAGGCGGCUUGUAAGUUAGAGGUGAAAGCCCAGGGCUUAACCCUGGAAUUGCCUUUAAGACUGCAUCGCUAGAAUCGUGGAGAGGUGAGUGGAAUUCCGAGUGUAGAGGUGAAAUUCGUAGAUAUUCGGAAGGAAACACCACGUGGCGAAGGCGACUUACUGGACACA
This 216-nucleotide ribosomal RNA is filed under the name uncultured bacterium. RNAcentral describes it as "partial 16S ribosomal RNA". It matches the Rfam family "Bacterial small subunit ribosomal RNA", at positions 524 to 737 of the family's 1533-position model. The record is from RNAcentral.